This 479-nucleotide ribosomal RNA is filed under the name uncultured bacterium. RNAcentral describes it as "bacterial SSU rRNA". It matches the Rfam family "Bacterial small subunit ribosomal RNA", at positions 8 to 507 of the family's 1533-position model. The record is from RNAcentral.
AGAGUUUGAUCCUGGCUCAGAGCGAACGCUAGCGGCAGGCUUAACACAUGCAAGUCGAGCGGGAUGACUUCGGUCAUCCAGCGGCGCACGGGUGAGUAACACGUAGGUAACGUACCCUUUGGUGAGGAACAACCCAGGGAAACCUGGGCUAAUGCCACCUAUGUCCUUCGGGAUGAAAGUCGAAAGACGCCAGGGGAUCGGCCUGCGGCCCAUUAUCUAAUCCUAGUUGGUAAGGUAACGGCUUACCAAGGGUACGAUGGGUAGCUGGUCUGAGAGGAUGAUCAGCCACACUGGGACUGAGACACGGCCCAGACUCCUACGGGAGGCAGCAGUGGGGAAUAUUGCGCAAUGGGCGAAAGCCUGACGCAGCCAUGCCGCGUGAGUGAUGAAGGCCCUCGGGUCGUAAAGCUCUGUCGGGAGGGACGAAGGGUGGCAACACUCUGACGGUACCUCGCAAGAAAGCACCGGCUAACUCCGUG